Molecule: ribosomal RNA, 400 nt
Filed under: uncultured bacterium
Lineage: Bacteria
Description: bacterial SSU rRNA
Rfam family: Bacterial small subunit ribosomal RNA
Source: RNAcentral
UAUUGCACAAUGGGGGAAACCCUGAUGCAGCGACGCCGCGUGAGCGAAGAAGUAUUUCGGUAUGUAAAGCUCUAUCAGCAGGGAAGAAAGAAAUGACGGUACCUGAGUAAGAAGCCCCGGCUAACUACGUGCCAGCAGCCGCGGUAAUACGUAUGGAGCAAGCGUUAUCCGGAUUUACUGGGUGUAAAGGGAGCGUAGGCGGCCUGGCAAGUCUGGUGUGAAAUACCGGGGCCCAACCCCGGGACUGCAUUGGAAACUGCCAGGCUGGAGUGUCGGAGAGGUAAGUGGAAUUCCUAGUGUAGCGGUGAAAUGCGUAGAUAUUAGGAGGAACACCAGUGGCGAAGGCGGCUUACUGGACUGUAACUGACGUUGAGGCUCGAAAGCGUGGGGAGCAAACAGG